RNAcentral lists this ribosomal RNA (305 nucleotides) under uncultured bacterium. RNAcentral's name for it is "partial 16S ribosomal RNA". It matches the Rfam family "Bacterial small subunit ribosomal RNA", at positions 508 to 809 of the family's 1533-position model. The record is from RNAcentral.
ACAGCAGUCGCCGCGGUAAUACGUAGGGUGCAAGCGUUAAUCGGAAUUACUGGGCGUAAAGCGUGCGCAGGCGGUUAUAUAAGACAGAUGUGAAAUCCCCGGGCUCAACCUGGGAACUGCAUUUGUGACUGUAUAGCUAGAGUACGGCAGAGGGGGAUGGAAUUCCGCGUGUAGCAGUGAAAUGCGUAGAUAUGCGGAGGAACACCGAUGGCGAAGGCAAUCCCCUGGGCCUGUACUGACGCUCAUGCACGAAAGCGUGGGGAGCAAACAGGAUUAGAUACCCCCGUAGUCCCUGUCUCUUAUAA